Molecule: ribosomal RNA, 479 nt
Filed under: uncultured anaerobic ammonium-oxidizing bacterium
Lineage: Bacteria
Description: bacterial SSU rRNA
Rfam family: Bacterial small subunit ribosomal RNA
Source: RNAcentral
UUUCGCAAUGCCCGAAAGGGUGACGAAGCGACGCCGCGUGCGGGAAGAAGGCCUUCGGGUUGUAAACCGCUGUUGGGAGUCAAGAAAUGCAAGGGUGUUAAUAGUAUCCUUGCUUGACUAAGGCUCCGGAGGAAGCCACGGCUAACUCUGUGCCAGCAGCCGCGGUAAUACAGAGGCGGCAAGCGUUGUUCGGAAUUAUUGGGCGUAAAGAGCACGUAGGUGGGUUUGUAAGUCAGAUGUGAAAGCCUUCUGUUCAACGGAAGAAUUGCAUCUGAAACUACAAGUCUUGAGUGUAGGAGGGGAGAAUGGAACUUCUGGUGGAGCGGUGAAAUGCGUAGAUAUCAGAAGGAACGCCGGCGGCGAAAGCGAUUCUCUGGCCUAUUACUGACACUCAGUGUGCGAAAGCUAGGGGAGCAAACGGGAUUAGAUACCCCGGUAGUCCUAGCCGUAAACGAUGGGCACUAAGUAGAGGGGUUUUA